UUGAACGCUGGCGGCAGGCCUAACACAUGCAAGUCGAAUGGUAACAGGAAACAGCUUGCUGUUUCGCUGACGAGUGGCGGACGGGUGAGUAAUGUCUGGGAAACUGCCUGAUGGAGGGGGAUAACUACUGGAAACGGUAGCUAAUACCGCAUAACGUCGCAAGACCAAAGAGGGGGACCUUCGGGCCUCUUGCCAUCAGAUGUGCCCGGAUGGGAUUAGCUAGUAGGUGGGGUAACGGCUCACCUAGGCGACGAUCCCUAGCUGGUCUGAGAGGAUGACCAGCCACACUGGAACUGAGACACGGUCCAGACUCCUACGGGAGGCAGCAGUGGGGAAUAUUGCACAAUGGGCGCAAGCCUGAUGCAGCCAUGCCGCGUGUAUGAAGAAGGCCUUCGGGUUGUAAAGUACUUUCAGCGGGGAGGAAGGGAGUAAAGUUAAUACCUUUGCUCAUUGACGUUACCCGCAGAAGAAGCACCGGCUAACUCCGUG
Molecule: ribosomal RNA, 489 nt
Filed under: uncultured bacterium
Lineage: Bacteria
Description: partial 16S ribosomal RNA
Rfam family: Bacterial small subunit ribosomal RNA
Source: RNAcentral